GAAUUCGCCCUUAGAGUUUGAUCCUGGCUCAGGACGAACGCUGGCGGCACGCCUAACACAAGCAAGUCGAACGGAGUGAAGAUGCUCGCAUCUGAACUUAGUGGCGGACGGGUGAGUAACACGUGAGCAACCUGCCUUUCAGAGGGGGAUAACGUUUGGAAACGAACGCUAAUACCGCAUAAAAUAUCGGAGUCGCAUGGCACUGAUAUCAAAGGAGUAAUCCGCUGAAAGAUGGGCUCGCGUCCGAUUAGGCAGUUGGCGGGGUAACGGCCCACCAAACCGACAAUCGGUAGCCGGACUGAGAGGUUGAACGGCCACAUUGGGACUGAGACACGGCCCAGACUCCUACGGGAGGCAGCAGUGGGGGAUAUUGCACAAUGGGGGAAACCCUGAUGCAGCGAUGCCGCGUGAAUGAAGACGGCCUUCGGGUUGUAAAGUUCUGUCGCAGGGGACGAAAAUGACGGUACCCUGCAAGAAAGCUCCGGCUAACUACGUGCCAGCAGCCGCGGUAAUACGUAGGGAGCAAGCGUUGUCCGGAAUUACUGGGUGUAAAGGGAGCGUAGGCGGGAGGAUAAGUUGAAUGUGAAAUCUAUGGGCUCAACCCAUAGCUGCGUUCAAAACUGUUCUUCUUGAGUGAAGUAGAGGCAGGCGGAAUUCCUAGUGUAGCGGUGAAAUGCGUAGAUAUUAGGAGGAACACCAGUGGCGAAGGCGGCCUGCUGGGCUUUUACUGACGCUGAGGCUCGAAAGCGUGGGUAGCAAACAGGAUUAGAUACCCUGGUAGUCCACGCGGUAAACGAUGAUUACUAGGUGUGGGUGGACUGACCCCAUCCGUGCCGGAGUUAACACAAUAAGUAAUCCACCUGGGGAGUACGGCCGCAAGGUUGAAACUCAAAGGAAUUGACGGGGGCCCGCACAAGCAGUGGAGUAUGUGGUUUAAUUCGAUGAUACGCGAGGAACCUUACCCGGGCUCAAACGACGGAUGAAUACUUUUGAAAGGAGGUAGUCCUUCGGGACAUCCGUCGAGGUGCUGCAUGGUUGUCGUCAGCUCGUGCCGUGAGGUGUCGGCUUAAGUGCCAUAACGAGCGCAACCCCCAUCGCCAGUUGCCAACAGGUAAAGCUGGGAACUCUGGCGAGACUGCCGGCGCAAGCUGUGAGGAAGGCGGGGAUGACGUCAAAUCAGCACGGCCCUUACGUCCGGGGCGACACACGUGUUACAAUGGCAGGUACAGAGAGAUGCGACACGGCGACGUGGAGCGGAACUGUCAAAACCUGUCUCAGUUCGGAUCGGAGUCUGCAACCCGACUCCGUGAAGCUGGAUUCGCUAGUAAUCGCGCAUCAGCCAUGGCGCGGUGAAUACGUUCCCGGGCCUUGCACACACCGCCCGUCA
RNAcentral lists this ribosomal RNA (1387 nucleotides) under uncultured bacterium. RNAcentral describes it as "bacterial SSU rRNA". It matches the Rfam family "Bacterial small subunit ribosomal RNA". The record is from RNAcentral.